RNAcentral lists this ribosomal RNA (492 nucleotides) under uncultured bacterium. RNAcentral describes it as "partial 16S ribosomal RNA". It matches the Rfam family "Bacterial small subunit ribosomal RNA", at positions 29 to 507 of the family's 1533-position model. The record is from RNAcentral.
AGUGAACGCUGGCGGUAGGCCUAACACAUGCAAGUCGAACGGCAGCACAGUAAGAGCUUGCUCUUACGGGUGGCGAGUGGCGGACGGGUGAGGAAUACAUCGGAAUCUACUUUUUCGUGGGGGAUAACGUAGGGAAACUUACGCUAAUACCGCAUACGACCUACGGGGGAAAGCAGGUGAUCUUCGGACCUUUCGCGAUUGAAUGAGCCGAUGCGGGUUUAGCUAGUUGGCGGGGUAAAGGCCCACCAAGGCGACGAUCCGUAGCUCGUCGGAGAGGAUGAUCAGCCGCACUGGAGCGGAGACACGGUCCAGACUCCUACGAGAGGGAGCAGUGGGGAAUAUUGGGCAAUGGGCGGAAGCCUGAUCCAGCCAUACCGCGUCGGUGAAGAAGGCCUUCGGGGUGUAAAGCCCGUUUGUUGGGAGAGAAAAGCAGCAGGUUAAUAACCCGCUGUUCUGACGGUACCCAAAGAAUAAGCACCGGCUAACUUCGUG